GCCAGACUUGGUGGUGAGCACCUGUAGUCCCAACUAUACAAGAGGCUGAGGUAGGAGGAUCACUUGAGGCCAGGAGUUCUGUACAUAACCAUGUUCACACUAAGUUUAGUAUCAAUAUGCCGAUGUCCUGGGAGAAUAGGACCAUCAGUUUGUACAAGGAGAGAGGUGAACUGACCCAGACCAGAGAUGAAGUAGAUCAAAAUACCCAUGCUGAUCAGUAGUGGGAUCACAGCUGUGAAUAACCACUAUACUCCAGACUGAACAAUAUAGCAAGACCUUGUC
RNAcentral lists this signal recognition particle RNA (282 nucleotides) under Carlito syrichta (Philippine tarsier). Its description in RNAcentral is "Metazoan signal recognition particle RNA (ENSTSYG00000030316.1)". It matches the Rfam family "Metazoan signal recognition particle RNA". From Rfam's summary of the family: The signal recognition particle (SRP) is a universally conserved ribonucleoprotein. Lineage: Eukaryota; Metazoa; Chordata; Mammalia; Primates; Tarsiidae. The record is from RNAcentral.